UACGGAGGGAAGAAGCGUUGUUCGGAAUUACUGCGUGUAAAGCGCGUGUAGGUGGCUUGUCAUGUCAGGAGUGAAAGCCCUCGGCCUAACCGAGGACGUGCGCCUGAAACUGCCAAGCUUGAGUACGAGAGAGGAGGACGGAAUUCCCAGUGUAGAGGUGAAAUUCGUAGAUAUUGGGAGGAACACCGGUGGCGAAAGCGGUUCUCUGGAUCGAUACUGACACUAAGACGCGAAAGCGUGGGGAUCAAACAGG
RNAcentral lists this ribosomal RNA (253 nucleotides) under uncultured bacterium. Its description in RNAcentral is "partial 16S ribosomal RNA". It matches the Rfam family "Bacterial small subunit ribosomal RNA", at positions 524 to 776 of the family's 1533-position model. The record is from RNAcentral.